RNAcentral lists this ribosomal RNA (216 nucleotides) under uncultured bacterium. RNAcentral describes it as "partial 16S ribosomal RNA". It matches the Rfam family "Bacterial small subunit ribosomal RNA", at positions 120 to 334 of the family's 1533-position model. The record is from RNAcentral.
GACAGUAGUACUUUCGGCGGGGGAUAGCCGGCCCAACGGCCGGGUAAUACCGCGUACGACCUCUUGGGGACAUCCCCGAGUGGUGAAAGCAGCAAUGCACCGAAAGAGUGCCUCGCGGCCUAUCAGCUAGUUGGUGAGGUAACGGCUCACCAAGGCAACGACGGGUAGCUGGUCUGAGAGGAUGGCCAGCCACAUUGGGACUGAGACACGGCCCAG